Molecule: long non-coding RNA, 1059 nt
Organism: Lycium barbarum (goji berry)
Lineage: Eukaryota; Viridiplantae; Streptophyta; Magnoliopsida; Solanales; Solanaceae
Exons: 4
Source: RefSeq, a predicted model, not a curated record
AAUAAUAAAUGGGAAACAUUUAAAUUUAAAAAAAAAAUAAAAAAAUUCGACCACAUGUGAUAAAAAAUUGGACCACAUUUGUAUAUACACAUUUGGAAUAGAUCUGUUCACGCACACUCCACACUUGACCACAUUUGUAUUUUUUAUUUCUCUCUCUUUCCUCUCUCCCUCUCCUCUCUCUACCCACACCACCAGCCCACCGCCCCACCAGCCCAGACCCUUAACCCACCGCCUUCUGACCACCGCCAAUCCACCGUCGGCAGCGCAAGUGGAAAAAAAAAAUUAAAGUUCUAAUUUUCCUUGCAAGUGGAUGAGUGAAGAAAUCUUCAUAUCCCUGUUGAAGAUGCCUUCUAUGAUUGAAGAUGGGGAGUUUUAUUGGCUAUUUAUUGAUACUCCGCAUCUUCGUGGAGAAUCAAUUUCAUUAGUUGACUUUAACUAGUUGGGGACUGAGAAGUAGUUGAUCCAAGUUGAUGCGGGCGAUAACAACUGCAUUUUUGUCAGCGGUCAGUGAUAUAGUGUCUCAGAAGAUUACUGGCAUUAAGAGACUUCAAAUUAGCGCCUUCUUCUUUGGAUAAUUUAUAAUAAGUAUUUGGAAAAGAAGUUCCAUAUUCAUCUUGUAGUCACUUAUCACAUCCUUUCUUUUUUCCUGUUAAUAGAUUAUUUUCAUUCUUGAUCAAUGAUGAUGGCGCAGUUGAUCCUAAGGAGUAUGAAGCUAUGAAGCAUCAAGUUGCUCAGCUAACAAGAACACUUAAUUCCUCGGAGGCUAGGAUGUUGGGUAUGCAAGCCCAAAUUAAUAGUUUAUAUGGAUAUGUUUAAAUGGAUAUGUAUAUUAUCUUUAAGGGUUUGAAUUUAGUUUUAGUUCGAAUUAGAAGUACUUUUAAGUUUAUAAUGUUUUGAGUGUUUGAAUGAUGUUUAUGAUGUUUAAGUGUUUGAAUGUAGUUUAUGAUGUUUAAGUGUUUGAAUGUAGUUUUAAUUUUAAGUACUUUGAGGUUGAAUUUGAUUGUUUAUAAGUGUUUGAAUGGACAAUGUUUAAGUGUUCAAGUGUUUGAACAUUGUUUA